AGCCUUGGGCCAGAGUUCCAGGGGCUCUGGGAGUGGCUGCCAGGGCUUGUUUACUAAGUAAACAAGAAGAGGGCCUGGGAGGAGAGUCUGAUGAGCAAGGGGAAGGUAGCCAAGGAUGGAGUGAAAUACAAGAGACCACCAAGUUUUAGAUGAUCAUGCAACAAAGCUUCCAGCCAGUUCCAGGUGAAGACACCACCCCUGACCAUCAAGAAGCUACCCCGCCUCCACUAGACAGAGCAGGGAGAGAGUUCCGUCAUCCUUAAUAGGUAGAGACUAUGCCGCAAGCCAGCAUGAAGCAGUUACAGAAAAAAGACGAUUGGUCCCUCUGCCUCCCAUGAAGAUUUAUGGGGAUCACAUCUCUUACAGAGGAAAUGAGGCAGGAAAAUAGGGUCUGGAGGCAGGGAAUAUAAGGCAGAUUCACGCUUCAGCUAUGACAGGAAAUAUCCUCUCCAUAGGGCAGAUGCAGAGUAAAUGACUAUGUAACUUUACUUCACCCUCUUCAUUUACACAGGGCAUACACCAGCUAACCAGUGGAAUCCUCUAGAGGGUAUUUAAACUCCCAAAAAUUCUGUAACAGGG
RNAcentral lists this long non-coding RNA (579 nucleotides) under Homo sapiens (human). RNAcentral's name for it is "HSALNT0292290". The record is from RNAcentral. Lineage: Eukaryota; Metazoa; Chordata; Mammalia; Primates; Hominidae.